Molecule: ribosomal RNA, 468 nt
Filed under: uncultured bacterium
Lineage: Bacteria
Description: partial 16S ribosomal RNA
Rfam family: Bacterial small subunit ribosomal RNA
Source: RNAcentral
GACGAACGCUGGCGGCGUGCUUAACACAUGCAAGUCGAACGGAAAGGCCCUGCGUUUGUGGGGUGCUCGAGUGGCGAACGGGUGAGUAACACGUGAGUAACCUGCCCUUGACUUUGGGAUAACUUCAGGAAACUGGGGCUAAUACCGUAUAGGAUCUGCUGCUGCAUUGUGGGGGUUGGAAAUUUUCGGCGGUUGGGGAUGGAUUCGCGGCUUAUCAGCUUGUUGGUUGGGUAGUGGCUUACCAAGGCUUUGACGGGUAGCCGGCCUGAGAGCGUGAACGGCCACAUUGGGACUGAGAUACGGCCCAGACUCCUACGGGAGGCAGCAGUGGGGAAUAUUGCACAAUGGGCGGAAGCCUGAUGCAGCAACGCCGCGUGCGGGAUGACGGCCUUCGGGUUGUAAACCGCUUCCGCCUGUGACGAAGCGUGAGUGACGGUAAUCAGUAAAGAAGCACCGGCUAACUACGUG